GGGGAUGUAGUUCAGUUGGUAGAGUGCUUGCCUAGCAUGUACAAGGCCCUGGGUUCAAUCCCUAGCACCACCA
RNAcentral lists this transfer RNA (73 nucleotides) under Urocitellus parryii (Arctic ground squirrel). RNAcentral's name for it is "Spermophilus parryii (Arctic ground squirrel) tRNA". It matches the Rfam family "tRNA". From Rfam's summary of the family: Transfer RNA (tRNA) molecules are approximately 80 nucleotides in length. RNAcentral also lists the same sequence under 1 other name. Lineage: Eukaryota; Metazoa; Chordata; Mammalia; Rodentia; Sciuridae. The record is from Rfam by way of RNAcentral.